CCCUUAGAUGUUCUGGGCCGCACACGCGCUACACUGGCAGGUUCAUCGAGCUUCAUGCCCUGAUCUGAGAAGAACGGGAAAUCUUUGAACACCUGCCGUGCUUGGGAUAGAUGUUUGCAAUUAUUCAUCUUCAACGAGGAUUGCCUUGUAAGCGCACGUCAUCAGCGUGCAUUGAAUACGACCCUGUAUUCUGUACACACCGCCCGUCGCUCCUACCGAUUGAAGUUUUCGGUGAAUUUACCGGAGAUCCCUUUUGAAGGUGGUUCGCCACUGGAAGAAGUAUUCAAAAGUAAAUGAAUCGAAUGCUUUAGAGGAAGGAGAAGUCGUAACA
RNAcentral lists this ribosomal RNA (331 nucleotides) under uncultured eukaryote. RNAcentral's name for it is "partial 18S ribosomal RNA". It matches the Rfam family "Eukaryotic small subunit ribosomal RNA", at positions 1470 to 1796 of the family's 1831-position model. The record is from RNAcentral.